This 488-nucleotide ribosomal RNA is filed under the name uncultured bacterium. RNAcentral describes it as "partial 16S ribosomal RNA". It matches the Rfam family "Bacterial small subunit ribosomal RNA", at positions 28 to 507 of the family's 1533-position model. The record is from RNAcentral.
GACGAACGCUGGCGGCGUGCUUAACACAUGCAAGUCGAACGGAAAGGCCCUGCUUUUGUGGGGUUCUCGAGUGGCGAACGGGUGAGUAACACGUGAGUAACCUGCCCUUGACUUUGGGAUAACUUCAGGAAACUGGGGCUAAUACCGGAUCGGAGCUCCUGCUGCGUGGUGGGGGUUGGAAAGUUUCGGCGGUUGGGGAUGGACUAGCGGCUUAUCAGCUUGUUGGUGGGGUGGUGGCUCACCAAGGCUUGGACGGGUAGCCGGCCUGAGAGGGUGGUCGGACACACUGGAACUGAGACACGGUCCAGACGCCUACGGGAGGCAGCAGUGGGGAAUAUUGGACAAUGGGCGGAAGCCUGAUCCAGCCAUACCGCGUGGGUGAAGAAGGCCUUCGGGUUGUAAAGCCCUUUUGUUGGGAAAGAAAAGCAGCAGGUUAAUACCCCGCUGUUCUGACGGUACCCAAAGAAUAAGCACCGGCUAACUUCGUG